UACGUAGGGUGCAAGCGUUGUCCGGAAUUAUUGGGCGUAAAGAGCUCGUAGGCGGUUCGUCGCGUCGGCUGUGAAAACCCGGAGCUCAACUCCGGGCCUGCAGUCGAUACGGGCGGACUCGAGUUCGGCAGGGGAGACUGGAAUUCCUGGUGUAGCGGUGAAAUGCGCAGAGUAUCAAGGAGGAACACCGGUGGCGAAGGCGGGGAUCUCCGUGGGGCCGAAGUGACUGACGCUGGACGGAGCGAAAGCGUGGGGAGGCGAACAGGA
This 267-nucleotide ribosomal RNA is filed under the name uncultured bacterium. Its description in RNAcentral is "partial 16S ribosomal RNA". It matches the Rfam family "Bacterial small subunit ribosomal RNA", at positions 524 to 777 of the family's 1533-position model. The record is from RNAcentral.